RNAcentral lists this long non-coding RNA (860 nucleotides) under Homo sapiens (human). RNAcentral describes it as "long intergenic non-protein coding RNA 2548". Lineage: Eukaryota; Metazoa; Chordata; Mammalia; Primates; Hominidae. The record is from RNAcentral.
AUUGGGAGUUAGGUUUCAGCAUAGGAGUUUUUAGGGCAUGGAGAGGCACAAACAUCCAGACAAGCAUUUACCUUCUGCUGAAAUUGUCUCAGUGUUUGCCUCUCCUAAUGGAAUAUGGGCCACAUGUACAGCAAGGGCUCAGCAAAUGCUUGCUGAACAAACAAGUUUGAGGCAGGUUUCUAACUCAGGUAGAUCGUUUCAUCCUCUUCAUCUCCCAGCAACCAAGAAAACCAGCCUAUUGCCAUGGGGGGGUCCUCCAACCCUGGCUAUUCUCCAAUGCUAAAGACUGACAGAUAAUCUCAAUUAGCAAAUUGACCCUUGUGGAUUUUCUGCACUCAUAGCAAAUGUCUUCAGGAAAACUGAAUUUCUCUCCAUACCUGGAUUAAUUUUCAGUAAUGGAAUGACUGGGUCAAAGGAGAUCAACAUUGCUGUGGCUCUUUCAGGUUCUCUUAAAUUCCAUGGAUUUUAACUUUGGCCCAUGACCUCCUUGACCUCUGGAAAUGUGACAUCCUGCACCUGCUGCAUCAGGGCUCUUCCCUGGUCUUGCCUACACUUGUGUCUACACAGCUUGAUAAACCAGAGGGAUAGUCUGAGAGAGAAACUGAAGGUCAAAAUCAACGCAGUGGUGCCGAACAGAAGGGCCCGAGGUGCGAUGAGUAUAAUAUGAACACGAAGGAAAACAGCGAGUUCAGAAGCCUGGAGAAUCAGAAGCAGGUCAAGCGCUGGGGUUCAGGGCAAAGACCCUGAACACUGUGAAGGUGUUGGAGACCUGUUUUGAGGUGGCACUGCGGCUCAAUGUGAGUGCAGACCUGAGAGAUUAAAGUGCCUACGAAGGGCCAAAUACCUGUCCCUUCAUGACA